CAGUCGCCGCGGGAAUACAGAGGGUGCAAGCGUUAAUCGGAAUUACUGGGCGUAAAGCGCGCGUAGGUGGUUCGCCAAGUUGGAUGUGAAAUCCCCGGGCUCAACCUGGGAACUGCAUCCAAAACUGGCGAGCUAGAGUAUGGUAGAGGGUGGUGGAAUUUCCUGUGUAGCGGUGAAAUGCGUAGAUAUAGGAAGGAACAUCAGUGGCGAAGGCGACCACCUGGACUGAUACUGACACUGAGGUGCGAAAGCGUGGGGAGCAAACAGGAUUAGAUACCCGGGUAGUCCCUGUCUCUUAUAC
RNAcentral lists this ribosomal RNA (301 nucleotides) under uncultured bacterium. RNAcentral's name for it is "partial 16S ribosomal RNA". It matches the Rfam family "Bacterial small subunit ribosomal RNA", at positions 509 to 807 of the family's 1533-position model. The record is from RNAcentral.